AUUGGGAUGGCAGAGCCAGGCAUAAAUGCAAAAGACCUAAACCCUUUACUCAGGGGUUCAAACCCCCUUCCCAAUU
Molecule: transfer RNA, 76 nt
Filed under: Orlitia borneensis (Malayan giant turtle)
Lineage: Eukaryota; Metazoa; Chordata; Testudines; Geoemydidae
Description: tRNA-Leu
Rfam family: tRNA
About the family: Transfer RNA (tRNA) molecules are approximately 80 nucleotides in length.
Source: RNAcentral